AUGCCUUAGCGGGUCUGAGAGGAUGAUCCGCCACACUGGGACUGAGACACGGCCCAGACUCCUACGGGAGGCAGCAGUGGGGAAUUUUGGCCAAUGGGGGCAACCCUGAUCCAGCCAUUCCGCGUGAGUGAAGAAGGCCUUCGGGUUGUAAAGCUCUUUCGGCAGGAACGAAACGACGGUCUCUAACACCGCCGGCAAUGACGUACCGCAGAGAC
Molecule: ribosomal RNA, 215 nt
Filed under: uncultured bacterium
Lineage: Bacteria
Description: partial 16S ribosomal RNA
Rfam family: Bacterial small subunit ribosomal RNA
Source: RNAcentral